Molecule: long non-coding RNA, 839 nt
Filed under: Equus caballus (horse)
Lineage: Eukaryota; Metazoa; Chordata; Mammalia; Perissodactyla; Equidae
Description: lncRNA (ENSECAG00000044478.1)
Source: RNAcentral
CCCUGCUCAGCCAUGACCACCAUCCUGCCCCCGCCUGGCCUGGAAGUGCCACAGUGACUCCACUCUGAAGCUCAGGGUCCCCAAAGAGACAAGCCCUAGACAAAGCCCCAGAGACCCAGCCUCACCUCCUCCCUCCUGGGUCCACUUCCCCACAUCCAGAGCACUGUGUGUCCCCCCACCCCCGCACCACCCAGCUCUCUUAGGCAGAUAGAAAACGGAAUCCAGGCACUUGCCUCUCUGAGCCGCAGUUUCCUUAUCUGCACGACGGUCCUCAAAGUAAUCCCCACUUCCCAGGCUGGCCAUGAGGACCAAAAGGACAGUGAGCAAACGGACCUUCCUCCAGUGAGGUGGCCCCAUCUUCAGCCCGUUCCCCCGAAGUGGACACAAACCCCUUGUGGCUUCAGCCUCCAGCAUCUAAACCAUUGACUUCAGGUCCCGACAGCAGCAUGUGAGGAACUCGAGGCCCAGAGAGGGGAAGUAACUUGCCCGUAGAAGGCAGAGCCAGGAUUGGAACCGAGGCAGCCAGCAUGCUUCACUUCUCCACGUGACCCCUCUGGCUGUCCAGCCCAGACCUGCGACCUGGGCUGGAGGCUGGACGUCCCUCCUGAUUUCACCGUCCGUGCCUGGCCCCACCACAGCUCCCACCUCUGUGUUAAGGCCUAUUUGCUCCAUGUCCCGCCUCGGCCAACCCCAGACUGGGAGCAUCUCAGGGCCGUUCACGGCCAUGUCCCCACCCCCAGCACUGCGGGCUUGGCACACAGCAGGGCCGGGGUCCGUGUUCUAGGAGGAACGGUGAUUCCAGCUCAGGUCUGCCUCAGCUCCCCCACAGUGCCCUCUGC